UACAGAGGGGGCAAGCGUUGUUCGGAAUUACUGGGCGUAAAGGGCGCGUAGGCGGCCUGCUAAGUCGAACGUGAAAUCCCCGGGCUCAACCCGGGAACUGCGUCCGAUACUGGCAGGCUUGAAUUCGGGAGAGGGAUGUGGAAUUCCAGGUGUAGCGGUGAAAUGCGUAGAUAUCUGGAGGAACACCGGGUGGCGAAGGCGGCAUCCUGGACCGAUAUUGACGCUGAUGCGCGAAAGCCAGGGGGAGCAAACGGGG
Molecule: ribosomal RNA, 256 nt
Filed under: uncultured bacterium
Lineage: Bacteria
Description: partial 16S ribosomal RNA
Rfam family: Bacterial small subunit ribosomal RNA
Source: RNAcentral